This 830-nucleotide long non-coding RNA is filed under the name Homo sapiens (human). RNAcentral's name for it is "HSALNT0098837". The record is from RNAcentral. Lineage: Eukaryota; Metazoa; Chordata; Mammalia; Primates; Hominidae.
GAACACAGAUAUGUAGAACUCUUCUUGAAUUCUACAGCAGGAGCAAGCGGUGGUGCUUAUGGUAGCCAAAUGAUGGGAGGCAUGGGCUUGUCAAACCAGUCCAGCUACGGGGGCCCAGCCAGCCAGCAGCUGAGUGGGGGUUACGGAGGCGGCUACGGUGGCCAGAGCAGCAUGAGUGGAUACGACCAAGUUUUACAGGAAAACUCCAGUGAUUUUCAAUCAAACAUUGCAUAGAAAACUUCAGUUUAACAGUUUCUGCAAUACAAGCUUGUGAUUUAUGCUUACUCUAAGUGGAAAUCAGGAUUGUUAUGAAGACUUAAGGCCCAGUAUUUUUGAAUACAAUACUCAUCUAGGAUGUAACAGUGAAGCUGAGUAAACUAUAACUGUUAAACUUAAGUUCCAGCUUUUCUCAAGUUAGUUAUAGGAUGUACUUAAGCAGUAAGCGUAUUUAGGUAAAAGCAGUUGAAUUAUGUUAAAUGUUGCCCUUUGCCACGUUAAAUUGAACACUGUUUUGGAUGCAUGUUGAAAGACAUGCUUUUAUUUUUUUGUAAAACAAUAUAGGAGCUGUGUCUACUAUUAAAAGUGAAACAUUUUGGCAUGUUUGUUAAUUCUAGUUUCAUUUAAUAACCUGUAAGGCACGUAAGUUUAAGCUUUUUUUUUUUUUAAGUUAAUGGGAAAAAUUUGAGACGCAAUACCAAUACUUAGGAUUUUGGUCUUGGUGUUUGUAUGAAAUUCUGAGGCCUUGAUUUAAAUCUUUCAUUGUAUUGUGAUUUCCUUUUAGGUAUAUUGCGCUAAGUGAAACUUGUCAAAUAAAUCCUCCUUUUAAAAAC